GAUUUCUGGUUUGGUGCGCUUGGCCCGCCACGGUCACGUGUGUGAGUGCCGAUGCGCGCUUGCCAUCGUCGUCUGGAGAAUGUUCCUGCCCUUUACUGGGUUGGGUUCACAAUCCAGAACUUUUACUUUGAAAAAAUUAGAGUGUUUAAAGCAGGCGUCUUUUGCUAUGAAUACAUUAGCAUGGAAUAAUAAUUUAGGACUUGAGUCUUAUUUUGUUGGUUUCCAGGACUUUAGUAAUGAUUGACAGGGAUAGUUGGGGGUGCUAGUAUUCAGCGGCCAGAGGUGAAAUUCUUGGAUUCGCUGAAGACUAACUUAUGCGAAAGCAUU
RNAcentral lists this ribosomal RNA (327 nucleotides) under uncultured Peregrinia. RNAcentral describes it as "SSU rRNA". The stretch from base 106 to 327 matches the Rfam family "Eukaryotic small subunit ribosomal RNA", at positions 735 to 955 of the family's 1831-position model. The record is from RNAcentral. Lineage: Eukaryota; Cercozoa; Imbricatea; Thaumatomonadida; Thaumatomastigidae.